UUAUUCUCAAUUCUAAAAGGAAGAUACUUUGGGAGCUUCAAAAAUUUGGGUCUUUUCUGUAUUGAGAAGUUGUAGGUCAGGGGAGCAGUGGAUGAUCCUGUAAAUUUACCUUAAAAUGGUUUUCUAGAUGCAUCUGUUUGACUGUUUGCAGAGGCACACAGAACAUGGGAUUCAGGAGUGGAUUAGACUUCGACGUGCUAGAAAUUGUCGAGAGAGCAGGGGCCAUGUUUACUAACUCAGUUGGUAUUGCAUGAUGAGGCUGUCUCAAGGGCAGUCUGAUGCUAUUGUUGAAUGGAUCUCAAGACACCUACUGUAAGCUAUGGAAACACUGUAUGACCCCUACCACUGAUAUGGCCACAUCAUUGUAAAGGAGAAAGCAAGUAGCAGGGAAAGUUGGUGGUUCUUAUGUGAAAGUAAUUUCAUUCAUCAUCACAGCAGAUGGUACAUAGCAAUACUGCUGUGACGAACUGGUUAUAGUGACAGGUGAGUGAUAGUCUGUAGAAUGUGGGUUCCCAGAAGCUUUUCUAAAAAUCAGUAUUACCAUUUCUAUGCCCCUCAAGCAAUCACAUCCUUCUAUUAUAUCUGUCUGUUACUCCACAAAUUAUAACUUUCAUCCCUUUAAGACUUCUUGAGCACUGUUAAAAAUUCCUUAGGAUGGUCCACAUUUAGCUUUAUCUGGCAUCUCCACCUUUUGAAGAGGCAUUUGGACUUCUCCUAAAGAGUUAGUGUAAUGGAGCAAAUGUUAUUAUUAUAUAUUUGUAUUCACAAUCUUACCCUACUCCAGGUUCUAAGGAGGACUCUUUGCCUCCUCCUGAAAAGAUAAUGAGUUGCCAAGAACUAGAUGAACUAGCAGACACCUAGAGAGGGCAAAGUGAUUUACAUUAGAAGAAAUUCAUGAACAAAGAGGGACUGGAAAAAAGUUGAAAAAGGAAAGAGCCCAUUAAAGGUAAAGAUUUUCGUGGAAUGUUUAGAAGAGAGAUUUGGGGGUGGUGUGAAAAUUGCUAUGAAGAGGUACCAGAGGUAGAUUUUCCAUGAAAUUCUCACUGGUACUGACCCCCUCCAAGUCCUUCAGGCCUGAAUAAUGUCUUUACAUAUUCAUUAUAUAUCUUUCUUAUUUUCAGAGCACCCGUGCCCCACCC
Molecule: long non-coding RNA, 1139 nt
Filed under: Macaca mulatta (Rhesus monkey)
Lineage: Eukaryota; Metazoa; Chordata; Mammalia; Primates; Cercopithecidae
Description: lncRNA (ENSMMUG00000064583.1)
Source: RNAcentral